UACGAAGGGGGCUAGCGUUGCUCGGAAUUACUGGGCGUAAAGCGUGCGUAGGUGGUUCGUUAAGUCUGUCGUGAAAGCCCCGGGCUCAACCUGGGAAUGGCCGUUGAAACUGGCGAACUGGAGUGUGGCAGAGGGGGGUGGAAUUCCGCGUGUAGCAGUGAAAUGCGUAGAGAUGCGGAGGAACACCGAUGGCGAAGGCAGCCCCCUGGGCUGACACUGACGCUCAGGCACGAAAGCGUGGGGAGCAAACAGG
RNAcentral lists this ribosomal RNA (253 nucleotides) under uncultured bacterium. RNAcentral describes it as "partial 16S ribosomal RNA". It matches the Rfam family "Bacterial small subunit ribosomal RNA", at positions 524 to 776 of the family's 1533-position model. The record is from RNAcentral.